GAUGAACGCUGGCGGCGUGCCUAAUACAUGCAAGUCGAGCGAACAGACGAGGAGCUUGCUCCUCUGACGUUAGCGGCGGACGGGUGAGUAACACGUGGAUAACCUACCUAUAAGACUGGGGUAACUUCGGGAAACCGGAGCUAAUACCGGAUAAUAUAUUGAACCGCAUGGUUCAAUAGUGAAAGACGGUUUUGCUGUCACUUAUAGAUGGAUCCGCGCCGCAUUAGCUAGUUGGUAAGGUAACGGCUUACCAAGGCAACGAUGCGUAGCCGACCUGAGAGGGUGAUCGGCCACACUGGAACUGAGACACGGUCCAGACUCCUACGGGAGGCAGCAGUAGGGAAUCCUCCGCAAUGGGCGAAAGCCUGACGGAGCAACGCCGCGUGAGUGAUGAAGGUCUUCGGAUCGUAAAACUCUGUUAUUAGGGAAGAACAAAUGUGUAAGUAACUAUGCACGUCUUGACGGUACCUAAUCAGAAAGCCACGGCUAACUACGUG
RNAcentral lists this ribosomal RNA (497 nucleotides) under uncultured bacterium. Its description in RNAcentral is "partial 16S ribosomal RNA". It matches the Rfam family "Bacterial small subunit ribosomal RNA", at positions 28 to 507 of the family's 1533-position model. The record is from RNAcentral.